GGGGGGUCCCUUCAAAUACAAUAGAGGAGAGCUAGACAGCUGAGGUGUAUUGCUGUGAAAAAGGAAUACAUUUUAAAGGGAUGAAUAAAGAGAAGUAUUGCUCUACUCAGCAUCUUACUUAUCACUUACUUAUCAUUUACUUAGUGAAGUAACAUUUCCAGCUUACCUGAAAAGAUGCAGCUCAGUGAGACAGAGUGAAGAGGAGGCCAACGUGAUUGAUAUAAGGUCUGGCAAACCUGACCUGAGAGGAGAGAGAGAAGAACACUGUAGUUGUUUGGGCUAGAGAAGAAGUGUCUGAGAGCAAACAAAGUUUAUGAAGGCUGUUAGAAAGGGGGUUAAGGAAUAAUCUGUUCUCCAUGUUUGUGGUAGAUGGGAUGAGGCUUAAAGCAUAACCUCUCAGGUUGUGAGUAGAUACUGGGAAGAGCUUUUCCCGGUAAGGACAGCUUGACUGGGACACUACUGAAUCUUACCUCAGGAGACCUAUAGAAAAAAGUAGAGGGGAGGCAGGAAAACCUGUCUUCUCCCUCAGAUGCUCUCAAGCAUCUUUGACAGCAGAAAUUAAAUUCCUUCAAGCCACUUGAGACUGCUGCUCUUAAAAACCCAUUCUGCACUCCUCAAUCACAGAGGAUUUAGAGGGAGAGAGAACCAUUGUGACAUAAAAAUAAAAUAAUGCAGAAAAAAUUGAGCUCACCUUGCCCUUCAGUGUGGGAACCUGUGACCAUGUCUUAGGGCAGCUGGCUCUUCCUGAGGGCUCUGCCUCUGCCCCCAGUUCUCUCUGUCCAUGUAGCCCUGUGGACAGAGCAGCUGCUGGGCUCAGCUCUCUGCCCCAUCCUGACAUGAGGGGAGUGACUGAGCAGCUGUGUGGUGCUUCGUUGGGGUGAAACCAUGACAGCUGUGAAGAGAGAGACUCUGACCCCAAGGCACGAGCUGAGAUGACAUGAUGCUGAGUGACUCAAAACACAACGCCACUCAGAUGAAUUUUUAAUAUGUUUGCAAAUAUGAGUGUUCAAACUGACUAAGGCCAGAAGGAAAUUUUGACACUUGCCUCCACUGCACUUUUUGUCUUGUUCAAACUGAAAUCCUGACUGAAUUCAAGACUGAGCUUCUGAUCACAGUCCAGAGCCAGGUUUUUGCCUUUUCUAGGUAUUAUACCAAGUCUGAUCCAUAGAGAUGUUCACAUGCACGUGCUGAACAAAUGGAGUAAAUUUGGGAGUGAUAAUGUUGUUGGGUGAAAGGAAUCUUUGUGUAAAAAAGUUUUACUUAAAAAAAGAGUGUGGGAUUUGCACACCACUGAUGUCUAUAACGUCACUUUCACAACAUGAAAGCUUGAAAAAUGAGAUACAGAAAAAUUACUUGCAGUGAAAAAAUUAUUCAAAAUAUUACCUUAGUGGUUUGCUUUGGGGUUUUUUUGCCUACUUUGGGGCCAACUCUCCUUCUUCAAAAUUCCGGAUUUUUGGAUGAGCAUUUUUCCCAUUUUUAUUGCAUGUAAACAGGAGAGAAGGAAAGGCUGCAGCUUGGAUGGUAAUUGCUCUCCUGGGCUAUCUUUUUGAUUCAUAUUCUGUCUGAUGCAGUACAAGAAGCAGUUUGAAUUGCAGAAGAGAGAGAAGGAUUCCAAAGGAAGUGUCAGCUCUAGUUUUCCAUCAGGAGAGGGACUGAAUGGGGCACUUGAGGGAGCUAUUCACCUUCCUGUGGAAGUGGUGAGGAGAAGGAAUACCCACCAGCUUCAUGAAAAAGGAACUAAAUGAAAAUUAUAAAUUCUGAAAGAAGUAACAGCAGUAGUAGCAGGCCAGUGCCCGGUUCUGUUGAUAACCAGCAGGAAAAUUUGAGCUUGAUCAAGGGAAGGAGCAGCCCCAUUUUGGGUUUUCCAAAAGGGCCCUGUUCUCAAUCUGUGCUUAAGAGGAACCUGUCUCUAUUGAUAUGAGAGACUGUCAGCAUUAGACUUAGUGUUUUUCUUUGAUUUCAGCAACCACCAGUGCCUGGCAGCUUAUUUGGGUAGUUAAGUACCUUUAACAGGGCAGCCCUCUGCUUGUUUUUGGUUUUACUGUGAACUCCAUCCAUUUACUGGAGACAUUCUCUGCUACUUGCUGGGAGUAGGGAACAUCAAACCUGGAGCAGGGAUAAACCCUGCAGAUUAUCUGUCCAGGUGAGAUUUAAUGUGGUGCCCUUGGAUGUCUGGGAGAGACCUCAGGAGCUUUGCAGGAACACCCUGAAAAUGUCAGUAUCUCUGCUGGUGGAAAAUGAGAUUCCCUAAAUGUGAAGCAAAUAAAAGUGGUUAGUUAAUGGACCUAACCUAGAAAAAUCUGUCAUAUGGGUUUAUAAAUAUACAUUUAAAACAGGAGAAAACUAAAUUUUGCUGAUUUAUUCCAAAAUUGUGUCUCCUUCUUGUUCUGUACUUGGUCGUGCUUGCUUGUCUAGCUCACACUUCACAUUCCAAGAUAGAUUAAAUAGGCUAGUAUUCAAACCCUUCUUUAAGGUCUUUGGAUUUUAAUCUUCCCCAGGUUCCUCUAUCAGCCCCACUCCUGAAGGAUCUCUGAGCAUGGGGAAGGUCCUGCCUUGUCCACGUGGGAAACACUCACACUGCUGUGGCAGAUCUCUGAAGCUCUCUGUGAGAUCACAAACAAAUCAUUAAUCCACCAAGAGCUGAAAGGUUCUUCUGUCCCUGAAAAGGCAAAGUGGAAGUAGCAACAUGAAAUGUUUUUAAGCUCUUAAGCUUAUAUUUCUUAUUACUGUACAAGCUAUAAGUAAUGUGUGAUAUGAAGAAUUAAUAUGAGGGGUUUUUCACUAUUUUCUGGCUGAGAACAGAAAAUAGUGAAAAAAUACUUCCUUGCUCAUGGAAGUAGCCACCAGGCCAUGUCUGUCUCAGGGGUAUAUGUACCAUGACAGAGAGGAACAGGGAGAAAACUGGGGUGGCUUUUCUCCCUCACAGUAAAACUCCAGUUCUGAGAGGACCUGGAAGAGAGAGACUCACCAACUGGCCGAAGAUGGGGACCAAGAAUUGUUGAUGUGAUGCUGGAAGUAUGAAGGCUGGGAAUCAAAAACUAGCAAGGCAGAUGUGCAUGAGACUGCUGGAAUUGUGCUCCACUGGCCUGGAAAACCAGGGCAAAAGUGUUGGAUCUUCAAAAAGCCAAAUAUACUGUUUUCCAGACAAAAGUAAUUUCUUGGCUGUCAGUGACAGCUCCUUUUUAGGAGGAUCCUGUUUUGUAACUGUGAAUGUAAAGAGCUGCUUGGCAGCCAGCCAGCCAGCCAGCAACACAGCUACUUAAUUUACCAAUGAAAACUUUGAAGAAAUGGGGGAAGCUUGCUAGAAAGCAGGUCUGCAAUACGGCAGGCUGUGUUUCUCCUUGCAACAGAAAAUCCGAGAAAGAUUUGAAGGACCACAUAAAUAUAUCUUGUGUACUCAGAUUUACUGAACCAUAUAAAAUUUAGUGGCUAGAAUAGAGUACACAGAGUAACUCUGCAUUUACCUCAGUCCCUUUUCUUCAGAAUGGCAGCUCUUGGACCACCUUGGGCCUCCUUGGGUUUAAAGAAGUCAGACUCUUGCCCUUUGUGUAAGGGUGGGCUGGCUCUAGCCUGGCAU
Long non-coding RNA from Passer domesticus (house sparrow), 3577 nucleotides. RefSeq lists it as uncharacterized. The record is from RefSeq and is a predicted model, not a curated record. Lineage: Eukaryota; Metazoa; Chordata; Aves; Passeriformes; Passeridae. The transcript is spliced from 4 exons.